RNAcentral lists this transfer RNA (66 nucleotides) under Bothrogonia tongmaiana. RNAcentral's name for it is "tRNA-His". Lineage: Eukaryota; Metazoa; Arthropoda; Insecta; Hemiptera; Cicadellidae. RNAcentral also lists the same sequence under 1 other name. The record is from RNAcentral.
AUUUAAAUAUUUUAAUUAAAAAUUAAGAUUUGUGGUAUCUUAGAUAGGACUAAUCCCUUUUAAAUU